GCAGCCUACUAAAAUCAUGUGAAUCACUAAUUAUUAUUUUUCUGCUUGGGCAGGUGACAGUUGCUCAUGGUAUGUGCCAUUUGCUUGGAUAUAAGCAUAGCACAAAAGCUGAUUGGGAAGAGAUGUAUAAAAAAGAAACACAAAUCCUCCAGGAGCUAAGCAGGUUGUCUGGUACAAACUUUCAGCCGUUGACAAAAAACCACUUCUAGUAGUUGUAUCUGUAAACUGAUCCACACAAGAAAGAAAGAAAGAAAGAAAGAAAGAAAGAAAGAAAGAAAGAAAGACUGUUUUGUUUAACUACUUUAUUUUAUUAAGUAACCUUGUCCAACUUCAACUAAUCUUGGAUAUUUAGGAGAACUGACAGGACAGUUCCUUUUUUGAGUUAUCUGAGGUAGACUAAGCCUCAUGCAGCCCAUCUGCAGAUGCUUUAUAGUCUGAUGUUAUGGUGACAUCGCAUGACUCCUGAUCCCACAAAGAUGUUAUAUGUGGGAUACAGGGUAGUAAACAUCACAAGAUUCCCACAUCCAAAGGUAAAGACCUUCAAAGUCUAUCCGAUGGUUUGUCUUAUCCUUUCAAAAGGUCUAUCUGUAUCCUUGUCUGCUCAGUCACAAUCGGUAGUUAAUUCUCUCUGCCUUGUCCACUCAAUUGUCUCUCGUCAGUGGGUAGUCCAGUUGCUUUCGGAGGAUUGUCACAAUGAUACCCAAUUUGGGUAUGCCCAUUUUUGGAGCCCUAGCAGUAACUUAAAAGAUGUUGCCCCGGCUCGCCAGCUGAGGUGAAUGCAUCCAAGUAGUAGCUACAAGGAACCAUGGGCUAUGUAUAGAGCAUUUGUUGCCCUAUAUAGAUGUUACUUGGCGUUUAUGCAAUUACACACUUAGCCGAGUGUACUGUCAGUAUCACUCAUUUUCCGGCGGGGCCACGUGGAGGCGGUGUCAUCAUUAACGGCAUCACCCCGUAACCAUGAGAGUCAUAGUUACUCCCGCUAUUGCUUUUAUUCAGUUGUCCUAAGCAUUCAGUCUCUUUGUGAUAUGAGACUAAUUUAAUCCAAGAUUAAAUGCUUCAGAACUUCAGAUGUGUGUGAUAUACAUGUACAACACAUUUUGAUGUUGCUGCGUACCUGCCUGCUUUAUUAAAAAAAAAAAAUUAUAAAGGUU
Long non-coding RNA from Sceloporus undulatus (fence lizard), 1151 nucleotides. RefSeq lists it as uncharacterized. The transcript is spliced from 2 exons. The record is from RefSeq and is a predicted model, not a curated record. Lineage: Eukaryota; Metazoa; Chordata; Lepidosauria; Squamata; Phrynosomatidae.